This 492-nucleotide ribosomal RNA is filed under the name uncultured bacterium. RNAcentral's name for it is "partial 16S ribosomal RNA". It matches the Rfam family "Bacterial small subunit ribosomal RNA", at positions 29 to 507 of the family's 1533-position model. The record is from RNAcentral.
AGUGAACGCUGGCGGUAGGCCUAACACAUGCAAGUCGAACGGCAGCACAGUAAGAGCUUGCUCUUACGGGUGGCGAGUGGCGGACGGGUGAGGAAUACAUCGGAAUCUACUUUUUCGUGGGGGAUAACGUAGGGAAACUUACGCUAAUACCGCAUACGACCUACGGGUGGAAGCAGGGGAUCUUCGGACCUUGCGCGAUUGAAUGAGCCGAUGUCGGAUUAGCUAGUUGGCGGGGUAAAGGCCCACCAAGGCGACGAUCCGUAGCUGGUCUGAGAGGAUGAUCAGCCACACUGGAACUGAGACACGGUCCAGACUCCUACGGGAGGCAGCAGUGGGGAAUAUUGGACAAUGGGCGCAGGCCUGAUCCAGCCAUACCGCGUGGGUGAAGAAGGCCUUCGGGUUGUAAAGCCCUUUUGUUGGGAAAGAAAAGCAGCAGGUUAAUACCCCGCUGUUCCGACGGUACCCAAAGAAUAAGCACCGGCUAACUUCGUG